Molecule: long non-coding RNA, 1690 nt
Organism: Spea bombifrons (plains spadefoot toad)
Lineage: Eukaryota; Metazoa; Chordata; Amphibia; Anura; Pelobatidae
Exons: 3
Source: RefSeq, a predicted model, not a curated record
AAAAAAAUUUCAUGAAGAAUUUUGAAUGCUUCCAAACCAAGCAUUUCUAAAAUCACAGCCAAUGACCUAUAAUUCAUCAUCACCAUGUGGAUGAAUUAAAAUAUUUAAUCAUAUUGUCAUUUAUAUUAUUGAUUUUAUUAAUUGCCUUUUUAAGCCAUUCUUCAUGUAGAGAAAUAUUAUACAUGGUUUGACCCGGAGUCUCCAAAUUAAGCCCUGCUCCACGGGGUCUCCGGGUCAGCUUGUUCUCUCUCCCAUAAAGGGUGUCCACAUUCUGCCCACUCCCUACCCACUUUCACCGGCGCCCUGCCACGUUCUCUCCCCCUAAAGGCCGGGGUCAGCCCAUACCCGGGAUGACAAAAGCCAUCUUGGCAAAUUUACCAGGAUGGUGGGAAUUUUAGUACUAAGAUUUCUUUAACCGUAUAGUGUAAAACAGGGCAACAUCAGUUAUAGGUUUCUGUGUCUGAAUUAAGAUUAUCUUUGUCCAACACGAGGAAUAUUUGAGUGAAUAUUACACAUUAUAUAUUUGCUUUUCUUAGGAAUAUUUUAAGCAGAAUCUAAACAGUAACAAACCUUUGCAAUGUAUGGCUCAAAUAUUAGUUUACCUAUGUUGAAAUAAUCUUCAUCGUUAAGUAAUGAAACAAUAAUAAUAAUAAAAAAAAAGCUAAACUGGCUACUUCUUCCUUCCAGGUUUCCAAAAAAAAAUUGUCAGCCAAUUAGAUUUUUUUUAAAAUAUAUUUUUUUUAAUUUUAAAAAUUAUUUCAUGGUUGUAACAGGACUUAGUCCUGUUAAUAUGAUUUUUUAAAAAAAAAUAUUAAUUUACUUCUUUCAUGGUAAACUGAAUAUAUGCAGAAGACGGCAAUAAAUAUCACUUUAUCCUAAUUACCUGUAAAAUGUGUCAGUAUUAAUAAAGGACUGUCAUUUGUUGGACUUCAGAGUAUUACUUUAGUUAACCCUUUGAGAUACAAAUAACUCUGGAAUAAUUGUCUGACAUUUGAGGGGAUACUUGCUUCCUCCUCAUACAAAUUUCAGAAUUUUUCGACUAGAAGGUGCUAGUUACAACUAGUUAAGCUUCUAAUUUUAUUAUUUUAAUAAAUAUAAUUAUGUCAUAAUGUGUGCAUUACAUAUUUGCCCAGAAUAUUUCACCACUAGGAUGCCCUUCUGAUUUGGGAUUUAUUAAAGCACUGUCAAAAAAAAAAGAUAAAAAAAAAAAGAAAUAUUAUUUUCCUGUUUUGAACAGGCUGGUUUUAGUGAUGUAUGUUUUAUUGUUUAAAAGGUCUGUAAAAUACAAUGUAAAAUGUAUAUAGUGGUCUGGAUUUCCAAGAUCUUGUAGAUAUUACACGGCAAUUUACUUUAAUUCUUGAAUGGAUUUCAUUUUAAAGAAUGUUACGGGGCCACAUGUCUGAUCUAAAUUGAAAUUAACAAAAUCACAACAUUCUAAAAAAAAAUGUGUAGUUGUGUUAAAUAUAUUUUAAUUUUUUUAUUAAUUUUUUGUUAUGUUUUUAUUUUUUAUUUUUUUUAAUACAUUUUGCACAGUCACAAUUUAUAUACCAUUACAAAUGCCAUGUCGUUAUUUCUCUGAUAAUGAGAUAUGCAACUGGAAAGAUGGGCCUAUAUCAAUUCAAGAUAUAUAGCUAUUGACAGUAUUACAUUUAUUUUAUUUUGUUCUUUUUUUUUUUCUUUUUUGUUCUUU